AUCUAUGGCCAUGUUGCCCUGAACAAGCCCAAUCCCAUCUGAUCUCGGAAGCUAAGCAGGGUUGGCCUGGUUAAUACUAGGAUGGGAGACUACCUAGGAAGACCAAGGGCUAUAAAAA
Molecule: ribosomal RNA, 118 nt
Filed under: Pteropus alecto (black flying fox)
Lineage: Eukaryota; Metazoa; Chordata; Mammalia; Chiroptera; Pteropodidae
Source: RNAcentral